Molecule: long non-coding RNA, 2502 nt
Organism: Sphaeramia orbicularis (orbiculate cardinalfish)
Lineage: Eukaryota; Metazoa; Chordata; Actinopteri; Kurtiformes; Apogonidae
Exons: 2
Source: RefSeq, a predicted model, not a curated record
GAGAACAGGAAACACCCUGCCAACCACGGGCCUCCUCUCUGAAGGGAACAGAGUCGGUAUGAUGUAUUCCAGCCAGGAGCCAGACAGCAGAUUUCCAAAUGGUGGGAAACCACCACCCAUGUAGCAGCAAAAACAGGUGGUGGAUUCACAGACACACUGAUGACUGUAUCAAGUCCAAACAUAAAUGCAUGACUGUGGCAUCGUUAUAUUCCAUAUUUUGAGCAUGCAGGACACUAAUGUUCUAUAUGACAUUUUUACACUUUUUCGUUGUAUGAUCUUGUAUGUCUAACUCAUUACUUUAGACAUAUAGUAAAAAAAAAAAAAAAAAAGAUGUAAACUUGAUUUUUUUGUGUGUUUUUUUUUAACCGGGAAAUCAUCUUUGCAGUUCAUUGAAUUUUAGUUUAAACUAAAAGAGCUUAAAGGUUUUAGAAAAUUAGGCAUGUCUUGCCUUCGUUUCAACAGCAUUUUUAAUGACAGUGAUUUAAUUCUUUUUCACAUAUUUGGAUCACUAACCACGGUAAUCUGAGGAUGAGAGGUUUUAGUGUCAUUUCUACUGCUUUCCCAACUUUGGCUCCGAGCAAGUGAAAAAAUACCCACAGAUGUAAGGGCGUGUGAGGCUGGCAUGUUGCGUCGAUUGGGUCAAAUGGAUCCCCAACAAGUGGAUAAUCCAGCUUUAGCACACCUCUCUGUGGACAAUAAUCUGCAGUCAGUCAGAUAAAGAUGUAAUCUUGAAUGAGGUCCAAAUGGAUUUUAGAGAUUGUCAGUUUCAUCAUGUUAGCCUCUUUCUGAAAAACCUACAGUUUUCUCUCUAACAGGCAAAUCUCAUGCGGUGUAACUGGAAGUGAACCAGUCACCAAAUGACAUGUAUGUUAUUCCAGAGGAAUGCUAGAUUAUAAACCUCCUUGUUUUACUAGUUUCAGUUCAUUCUAAUAGUCCUGUGGUCGUCAAGCUUUUUUUUUUUUUUUAUAUUUCUAAAUCAAGUAUAUGCCUUUUGCAAAUGCAACGGUACUAAAAGCUAAAACAUUUCACCAGAAAACUUUAAAACCCUUAAUGGUUUCCACUGUAUCACACUAGAAUGUAUUAAACCUGAGCUGCCUUUUAUGCAUCAACAAUGCCAACCUGACCACUAGGUGUCCUUAAAGCUCCAUUACCUCCCCCUUGAUCACUCUGCUAAUAAGUGCUCAAUGAAUUUACCUCUAGCCCUGUUACUCAUAAUUUGUCAGUUAAAGGAGGGCAAUGUGUGUGUUUAACAUUUGCGUUUUCUGCCCGUGUAGCCUUUGUAGAGCAUGAGAGGCAGCAGCCAGUUGUAGGCAGCAGAAGUGAAAAGCUCUCCCCAAACAAGCUCCUCUAAUGCAUGUACUUAACUUCACUUAAUUUGUGUUAAUUCCCAGCAUUACGCACAGCUAAUGACUGUGCUAGUGAGUGCACUGUCAUUACCUUCCUGUGCCUGACAUCAAAUGGCAGCUGAUGGGCUCGAACUAAAAAAAACCCCAGAAACUAAUGCACAGAUUUGGAUGCUCAGUGAGAGCGCUCUAAUGCAUUAGGUAUUGCAAAGGAUAAUUGCGUCUUAUAUUUGUAUACUGUGCAUUAUGGAUAUAUAUCAGUGUUUAAUGAAAUUGUAUUUCUGUGUCAGUGUAGGCACAUAGUACAUAUACCAGUUCAUACAGAAUGUUUCUUUUUUUAACAUUAAAAUGGAAUUUGCAUAAAGAUUGUGAAUAAUUCAUCAAGUCUGAGAGAAGGCAGUUGCAGUGCUCUCUCUCUCUAUUUCCUCGCUUCUUCAUGUGAGUCGACCACAUGGUUUGUAGCUGGUUUAAUGGGAUGGAAUGUGACAGGUUAUGUUUUCAUCUGCCUGAUAUGGAGCCAGGCUCUGGAGGGAGGGAACAAGAAAGAGAAAAAGAUACAAGGCGGAGAGGCAAAGUGAGUUAUAGCUGUAGUCUGGAUUUUCAGGAUUAGAUGUGUUUGUGUGAAUCAGUUAUGUACCAACACACAAACAAAGACACACACACACACACAUAGAAAAACACAUGCUCUGUAUGGGGCCAUUACUGCUGGUCCACUAACUGCCUACAUUUGCUGUGUCUGUGCAUUCAGAGCACCAUUAGUCCAAGACUCUGUGAAUAAUUGCUGAAUGGACCAUGUUUUCACUGCUAUCUACUCAGGUUCCAGUGUUGGGGGUUGAUGUAGUAAACGAAGUGAGAGGGAUGAGGACAGUGAUUGAUGUUUGACACUGGUCAAAAAGACAAUACUGUGUCUUGUACAAUGCGUAUAAUGAAUAAACUUUUUUACAUUUCACAUUGUCCACCUUUACAAACUACAGAAAUGUUCUGGUGGGUGUUUGUAUUACUUUGAUAUCUCUUGAAAUUGUUAUAAAAUGAAAUGUUUCUUCAAAUCAUUUCAGCUGCUGAUGGCAACCAACUGCAAGGCAUCAUCAAUUAUUUUGUUUUCCAAAGGUACAUAUUAUGUCCCAAGUUCAUUUUUCCUCCCCACAAAUACAUCCUCUAU